GAUGAAGAACGUAGCGAAAUGCGAUACGUAAUGUGAAUUGCAGAAUUCAGUGAAUCAUCGAAUCUUUGAACGCACAUUGCGCCUGCCAGCACUCUGGCAGGCAUGCCUGUUCGAGCGUCAUUUCAACCAUCAAGCCCUAGGCUUGCGUUGGAGCCCUGCGGCUGCCGCAGGCCCCUAAAAGCAGUGGCGGGCUCGCUAUCACACCGAGUGCAGUAGAUUACUCUUCGCUCAGGGCGUGUGGCGGGUUCCAGCCGUGAAACCCCCUACUUCUCAAGGUUGACCUCGGAUCAGGUAGUAAUACCCGCUGAACUUAAGCAUAUCAAUAAGCGGAGGA
Molecule: unclassified non-coding RNA, 334 nt
Filed under: soil metagenome
Description: partial contains 5.8S ribosomal RNA, internal transcribed spacer 2, and large subunit ribosomal RNA
Rfam family: 5.8S ribosomal RNA (bases 1-120)
Source: RNAcentral